Molecule: long non-coding RNA, 829 nt
Organism: Hydra vulgaris (swiftwater hydra)
Lineage: Eukaryota; Metazoa; Cnidaria; Hydrozoa; Anthoathecata; Hydridae
Source: RefSeq, a predicted model, not a curated record
AUAAGUAAUAAGAUUUUUAUAAAUAUUAUUUAAUAAAAGUCAAAUUUUAAAUAAAAACCAUAUUUAUCUUUUAAUCUUGUUACUUUUUUGUUUUGUGACAUCUGUACAAUCCCGUGCAAGGGCGGAAAAAAAAGGACGAAAAAACAAUGAAAGUGAUGACACAAGUCUGCUAACUCUUUUGUUAUUCUUUUCGAUAUGGUUGAUAAAUACAGGUCAACAAUAUGGCAAUACCAUUAUACACCAUUGCUAUUGUGGACUGCAAUAGAAUAGGUCAGCCAGUAAUGUAUAGUCUUGUUGAUAGAAAAUCAGAAUCAUUUCGAGAGAAUUCUUGAAGAUAUUCAUUGUUGGACUGGUUAUUUACUAAAAUCUGCCACGCUUGUUAUUGACAAAGAUAAUGCUGAAAUUUCUGCUAUAAAGACUGUUUUUCUAUAAAGUAGAAUUCUUUUCUGUUGAGUUCAUAUAGUGAAAGCAUUUGUUACAGAACUGAAAAAGUUGCCAGUGACUGAAAGAGAGCAAUAUUUAAUUUAUGAGGAGGCAUACACCAAAAACCAAAUCUUGUCAAUUCCCGUCAAAAAAUGGCACAGAAAGAGUGACAACUUAUACUUAGCGAAAUAAUACAGUUUUGUCAUAUUUAAAACCGAUAGCUUCAAUUCUCGCAAAUCUUUCUCAUUUAAGUUUUGUCAAUGCAUUAGAAUGGGUAAAGACGUUGGAAGAUCACAGCCGCACAACUCAGUGGAUGUCAACAAACUUAAGAACCCAAAGUAAUGGCUCGACAUAUUUUCAUAAAAAGAACUUUUCCGAAAUUGGUAACAAAUUUUAUCUCUUUGAA